AGCAGCCGCGGUAAUUCCAGCUCCAAUAGCGUAUAUUAAAGUUGUUGCAGUUAAAAAGCUCGUAGUUGAAUUUCGGGGUUAGCAAGUUGGUCGUGCCAUCGGUAUGCACUGGCUUUGCUGAUUCCUCCUUCUUGAAGAACUGUGAUGCUAUUAAUUUGGUGUUGCAGGGAAACAGGACUGUUACCUUGAAAAAUUAGAGUGUUUAAAGCAGGCUAACGCUUGAAUACAUUAGCAUGGAAUAAUGAAUAGGACGUUUGAUCCUAUUUGUUGGUUUCUAGGAUUGACGUAAUGAUUAAUAGGGAUAGUUGGGGGCAUUAGUAUUCAAUUGUCAGAGGUGAAAUUCUUGGAUUUAUUGAAGACUAACUACUGCGAAAGCAUUUGCCAAGGAUGUUUUCAUUAAUCAAGAACGAAAGUUAGGGAUCGAAGACGAUCAGAUACCGUCGUAGUCUUAACCAUAAACUAUAG
This 465-nucleotide ribosomal RNA is filed under the name uncultured Glomus. RNAcentral's name for it is "SSU rRNA". It matches the Rfam family "Eukaryotic small subunit ribosomal RNA", at positions 569 to 1042 of the family's 1831-position model. The record is from RNAcentral. Lineage: Eukaryota; Fungi; Glomeromycota; Glomeromycetes; Glomerales; Glomeraceae.